AGAGUUUGAUCAUGGCUCAGGACGAACGCUGGCGGCGUGCCUAAUACAUGCAAGUCGAGCGGGGUUGUCGGAGUGGAGUCCUUCGGGAUGAAGCACCGUCAACCUAGCGGCGGACGGGUGAGUAACGCGUGGGUAACCUGCCCUAAAGCCCGGGAUAACACCGGGAAACUGGUGCUAACACCGGAUACCUUCCGAAGAGGGCAUCCUUUUUGGAAGAAAGGUUAACGCUUUAGGGUGGGCCCGCGUCCCAUUAGCUAGUUGGUGAGGUAACGGCUCACCAAGGCAGUGAUGGGUAGCCGGCCUGAGAGGGUGGACGGCCACACUGGGACUGAGACACGGCCCAGACUCCUACGGGAGGCAGCAGUAGGGAAUAUUGCGCAAUGGGCGGAAGCCUGACGCAGCGACGCCGCGUGAGCGAAGAAGGCCUUCGGGUCGUAAAGCUCUGUCCUUGGGGAAGAAGGCGAAAGCUUGACGGUACCCAAGAAGAAAGCCCCGGCUAACUACGUGCCAGCAGCCGCGGUAAUACGUAGGGGGCGAGCGUUGUCCGGAAUUACUGGGCGUAAAGGGUGCGUAGGCGGCCUUUUAAGUCAGAUGUGAAAGGCUGCGGCUUAACCGCAGGACUGCAUUUGAAACUGGAAGGCUUGAGUGUCGGAGAGGGUAGUGGAAUUCCCAGUGUAGCGGUGAAAUGCGUAGAUAUUGGGAGGAACACCAGUGGCGAAGGCGACUACCUGGACGAUAACUGACGCUGAGGCACGAAAGCUAGGGGAGCAAACAGGAUUAGAUACCCUGGUAGUCCUAGCCGUAAACGAUGGGUACUAGGUGUAGGUGGUUUCGAUACCAUCUGUGCCGCAGUUAACGCAAUAAGUACCCCGCCUGGGGAGUACGGUCGCAAGACUGAAACUUAAAUGAAUUGACGG
Molecule: ribosomal RNA, 917 nt
Filed under: uncultured bacterium
Lineage: Bacteria
Description: bacterial SSU rRNA
Rfam family: Bacterial small subunit ribosomal RNA
Source: RNAcentral